Molecule: ribosomal RNA, 253 nt
Filed under: uncultured bacterium
Lineage: Bacteria
Description: partial 16S ribosomal RNA
Rfam family: Bacterial small subunit ribosomal RNA
Source: RNAcentral
AACGUAGGAGGCGAGCGUUAUCCGGAUUUACUGGGUGUAAAGCGCGUGCAGGUGGUUCGGUAAGUUGGAUGUGAAAGCUCCUGGCUUAACUGGGAGAGGUCGUUCAAUACUACCGGACUUGAGUGUGGGAGAGGAAGGUGGAAUUCCGGGUGUAGUGGUGAAAUGCGUAGAUAUCCGGAGGAACACCAGUGGCGAAAGCGGCCUUCUGGCCCAUUACUGACACUCAUACGCGAAAGCUAGGGGAGCGAACGGG